UACGUAGGGUGCGAGCGUUGUCCGGAAUUACUGGGCGUAAAGCGCACGUAGUCGGCUUUGCAAGUCGGUUGUGAAAUCCCCGGGCUCAACCUGGGAACUGCAUCCGAGACUGCAUUGCUAGAGUAUGGGAGAGGAAAGCGGAAUUUCUGGUGUAGCAGUGAAAUGCGUAGAUAUCAGAAGGAACAUCAGUGGCGAAGGCGGCUUUCUGGACCAAUACUGACGAUCAGGUGCGAAAGCGUGGGGAGCGAACAGG
Molecule: ribosomal RNA, 253 nt
Filed under: uncultured bacterium
Lineage: Bacteria
Description: partial 16S ribosomal RNA
Rfam family: Bacterial small subunit ribosomal RNA
Source: RNAcentral